RNAcentral lists this ribosomal RNA (393 nucleotides) under uncultured bacterium. RNAcentral's name for it is "bacterial SSU rRNA". It matches the Rfam family "Bacterial small subunit ribosomal RNA", at positions 28 to 409 of the family's 1533-position model. The record is from RNAcentral.
GAUGAACGCUAGCUACAGGCUUAACACAUGCAAGUCGAGGGCAGCAUGAAGUCAGCUUGCUGACUUUGAUGGCGACCGGCGCACGGGUGAGUAACGCGUAUCCAACCUUCCCCUUACUCAGGAAUAGCCCGUUGAAAGACGGAUUAAUGCCUGAUGUUCUCUAUUUCCGGCAUCGGUAAUAGAGCAAAGAUUCAUCGGUAAGGGAUGGGGAUGCGUAUGAUUAGCUUGUUGGCGGGGUAACGGCCCACCAAGGCAACGAUCAUUAGGGGUUCUGAGAGGAAGGUCCCCCCANACUGGAACUGAGACACGGUCCAGACUCCUACGGGAGGCAGCAGUGAGGAAUAUUCGGGUCAAAUGGAGGCAACUCUGAACCAGCCAAGUAGCGUGCAGGAC